Molecule: ribosomal RNA, 226 nt
Filed under: uncultured bacterium
Lineage: Bacteria
Description: partial 16S ribosomal RNA
Rfam family: Bacterial small subunit ribosomal RNA
Source: RNAcentral
CGACGUAGGUAACCUGCCUUGUAGCGGGGGAGUAACUAUUGAAACGAUAGCUAAUACCGCAUAACAAUGGAUGACACAUGUCAUUUAUUUGAAAGGGGCAAUUGCUCCACUACAAGAUGGACCUGCGUUGUAUUAGCUAGUAGGUGAGGUAACGGCUCACCUAGGCGACGAUACAUAGCCGACCUGAGAGGGUGAUCGGCCACACUGGGACUGAGACACGGCCCAG